AUCGCGUUGGUGAUCUAGGAAGACAGCCUGGGUGUCGGGCCAGCUCUUCUGGACUAGACUGCAGCAGGAAAAGAAUACGGUCUGUGGCUCCUCCUGUAAUUGCUCCAGAUGUGACCUGACGUGCUCUCUUGUGUCUGAUGACCACUCUCUGGGUUAACAUUUGCUCCCCGACCAGGGAUGGAACCCGCACCCCCUGCAUUGGAAGACGAAGUCUUAACCACUGGACUGCCAGGGAAGUCCCAUGAUGCC
Long non-coding RNA from Balaenoptera acutorostrata (minke whale), 249 nucleotides. RefSeq lists it as uncharacterized. Lineage: Eukaryota; Metazoa; Chordata; Mammalia; Artiodactyla; Balaenopteridae. The transcript has 3 exons. The record is from RefSeq and is a predicted model, not a curated record.